RNAcentral lists this long non-coding RNA (734 nucleotides) under Brachypodium distachyon (stiff brome). RNAcentral's name for it is "long non-coding RNA (BDIS_LNC004849)". The record is from RNAcentral. Lineage: Eukaryota; Viridiplantae; Streptophyta; Magnoliopsida; Poales; Poaceae.
GUCCUGUCUUCACUAUUCUACGGGCCCCGCCUGCAUGCUCGAGCGUGGGUUGUUGGGGUGCCCCUCCCCGGCCAGCACACCCGGCUGGUUGUCGGGAGGCAUUCCUUCAGCUUCCCGGCACCGGGGUUCCCGGGGGCUUCUUGUACUCAGCCCUUAGAUUCUCCCCCACCAAGGGCCGUUUCCACGAGGCAAGCUCCCCGGACUCAUCGCUUCCCGGGAGGCCUUCCUGACGGGGCUUCGUCACUGGCGACCCACGCGUCCCGUAUCAGUGGGACCCCGCGGGCCACUGGUACGACAAUUUUGGGCCUAUCUGAAAAGUUACUGUUCAUUUUUUUUUGUUUUUUUCCCUUCAUUUAUCCAAAGGGGGACCCACAGUGACUUGUCUUCCAACUCACUUUUUUCAGUGUUUCUUGCAUUAUUAUUUUCAGUGUUUAUUGUAUCAUUAUUUUCAGUGUUUCAUGCAUUAUUAUUUUCAGUGUUUAUUGCAUUAUUAUUUUCAUUUUUUUGCAUUAUUAUUUUCAGUGUUUUUGCAUUAUUAUUUUCAGUGUACCGAUCAACGAUUCUUGCGGGUCAUUUCUGUUCCAUAAUUAAUGUAACGAAAAAAACUCGAAUGGAUAUUGAAAACACACACACACACACACGCAUACAUACAUACAUAUCUAUACAUACAUACAUAUCUAUAUAUAUAUAUAUAUAUAUAUAUAUAUAUAUACCUACAAGCUAAACAGGAAUCG